AGACGUCACGUCGGGAGAGACCGGUUUUUUGCCGGCGCCGAAGGAGCAACCGCCCCGGAAACUCUCAGGCAAAAGGACCGUGUGACGGAC
RNAcentral lists this non-coding RNA (90 nucleotides) under Bradyrhizobiaceae bacterium. RNAcentral describes it as "Glycine sequence". It matches the Rfam family "Glycine riboswitch aptamer". Rfam says of the family: This family represents the bacterial glycine riboswitch. Glycine riboswitches usually consist of two metabolite-binding aptamers domains with similar structures in tandem. The aptamers cooperatively bind glycine to regulate the expression of downstream genes. Lineage: Bacteria; Pseudomonadati; Pseudomonadota; Alphaproteobacteria; Hyphomicrobiales; Nitrobacteraceae. The record is from RNAcentral.